UCCCCGAUAGCUCAAUUGGUAGAGUGAGCGGCUGUUAACCGCUAGGUUGCUGGUUCGAGUCCAGCUCGGGGAG
Molecule: transfer RNA, 73 nt
Filed under: Pirellulaceae bacterium
Lineage: Bacteria; Pseudomonadati; Planctomycetota; Planctomycetia; Pirellulales; Pirellulaceae
Description: tRNA-Asn
Rfam family: tRNA
About the family: Transfer RNA (tRNA) molecules are approximately 80 nucleotides in length. Their secondary structure includes four short double-helical elements and three loops (D, anti-codon, and T loops). Further hydrogen bonds mediate the characteristic L-shaped molecular structure. tRNAs have two regions of fundamental functional importance: the anti-codon, which is responsible for specific mRNA codon recognition, and the 3' end, to which the tRNAs corresponding amino acid is attached (by aminoacyl-tRNA synthetases). tRNAs cope with the degeneracy of the genetic code in two manners: having more than one tRNA (with a specific anti-codon) for a particular amino acid; and 'wobble' base-pairing, i.e. permitting non-standard base-pairing at the 3rd anti-codon position.
Source: RNAcentral